RNAcentral lists this transfer RNA (243 nucleotides) under Candidatus Aenigmatarchaeota archaeon. RNAcentral's name for it is "tRNA-Gly". Lineage: Archaea; Nanobdellati; Candidatus Aenigmatarchaeota. The record is from RNAcentral.
GCGCCGAUGAUCUAGUGGUAUGAUUCUGGCUUCCCGAGCCAGUUGUCCGGGUUCAAUAACAGUCUUGGGUGUUGAGUGUUGGGUGCCGAUUAAGAUGUCCUGAGCCUUCGGUCUUCAGUCAACACUCAAAAUCGUGUCUCGUAGACGCGAGACAUCUCUGCAUCUCGAAAGAACAGGCAGAGAUGCAGACUUUAUAGAGUGUAUAGACAAGACUCAAGACCGUUGUGUCUCCCGGUCGGCGCA